This 468-nucleotide ribosomal RNA is filed under the name uncultured bacterium. RNAcentral's name for it is "partial 16S ribosomal RNA". It matches the Rfam family "Bacterial small subunit ribosomal RNA", at positions 28 to 507 of the family's 1533-position model. The record is from RNAcentral.
GACGAACGCUGGCGGCGUGCUUAACACAUGCAAGUCGAACGGAAAGGCCCUGUCUUUGUGGGGUGCUCUAGUUGCGACCGGGUGACUAACACUUGAGUACCCUGUCCCUCCCCUUGAGGUAAGCUCAUAAAACUGGGUCUCAUCGGGGCAAGGAGCUCCUGCCUCAUGAUGGGGGCUGGAAGGAUUCGGCGGUUGGUGAUGGACUCGCGGCCUAUCAGCUUGUUGGUUGGGUAGUGGCUUACCAAGGCUUUGACGGGUAGCAGGCCUGGGAGGGGGACCGGCCACAUUGGGACUGGGAUACGGCCCAGACUCCUACGGGACGCAGCAGUGGGGUAUAUUGCACAAUGGGCGGAAGCCUGAUGCAGCAACGCCGCGUGCGGGAUGAGGGCCAUCGGGUUGUAUUCCGAUUUCGCCUGUGACGAAGCGUGAGUGACGGUAAUGGGUAAAGAAGCACCGGCUAACUACGUG